This 1987-nucleotide long non-coding RNA is filed under the name Sus scrofa (pig). RNAcentral's name for it is "lncRNA (ENSSSCG00045008812.1)". The record is from RNAcentral. Lineage: Eukaryota; Metazoa; Chordata; Mammalia; Artiodactyla; Suidae.
GGGGGGGGGCGAGGUUAUGGAGACCGGCUGGCGGGGGGCCUCUCCGCAAGACCCUGACUUUCGAGGAGCAUUGGUGCUGGUCACGUGAGAGCCCCGGGGUAACGCAGCUCGUCCAGAGGAAACAGCAGGUGACUCUGUGAUGCUGAGGACCCCACGUGCUGGUCACGUCCCGGGCCUGGCUCACCGCUGGGCUGGCGCCAGUGAUUCAGUGGUGGCAUGGGGGUGGCGCAGGUGAAUGUAAAAGCUUUAAGGAGAAGUUCAUGAAGUGUCUCCGUGACAAUAACUUUGAAAAUGCUUUGUGCAGAAAUGAAUCAAAAGAAUAUUUAGAAUGCAGGAUGGAGAGGCAACUGAUGGCACAGGAGCCCCUGGAAAAACUGGGCUUUGGAGAUUUGAAGGACGGAAAGUCUGACCGAGACUGAACCUGGUGAAAGGCCGCACAGCUGUGGGGGGUCCGGACGACCCCGCCCCCGGCGGCUGGCGUGUUGGUACCACGGCUCGGGGUGGGGGGGCUCUGGGGGCGCCCGCCAGAUGCCGCUGGAAGUCAGAACGGACGCCCCUCCCCGAGGACGCAGCUCGUGGCCGGGCAGGGGCUGGUCUUCGACGCUCCCGAGGAUGUCGGAAACCCGUCGCCCCGCCACAGCCCUGCCGACCCCGCGGCGUUGGGUGCGUCUGAAGUCGCGGGUGUGACGGGCUCCCGCGGAGGUGGCUGCCAUGUGGCGUGCGCCCAGCGACUGGUCAGCUCGGGCUCCUGGGGACGCUGGUUCGCAUCGCGGUCUCGGCGCGUUUUGUGUGUGACGUGCGAAAGGGUCGCAGUGUCGUCGUUGGGCACAUGGGUCGUCGGGAAGUCGUCCCCCAGCACUCGGGUUCCUCUUCGUAUCUUGGACGCAGACACAAGUGCCCCUCACCUCCUUUUUUUAACAAGAACAGAGGACGAGCCCAGAAGUGGGAAAUGGGCUUUUGACGUAUCUGACGUCUCGAUUUUUUUUUUAUGGUGACGCCUGGCACCGAGUAUCUGUCUGAUCAAGGCUCGUUUUCUGGUUCAUAUCAGACCGUGUUUGUAAAACUAGAUGUUGGGUUGGUUCCAAGAACGCAUUUGCUGUCGCUGAGAGACAGAAUGUCUCCGUGGGUCAGUCGUUUUGCACAUGUGGCCUCCCAGGCCUUUGAGGACGCUCGUGAGCCCCCGGCCGGCGCUGCAGCAGCCCGUGCCCGCUGCCCGGAGCGCCGUCAGAACAGACGUCACAGGUGUGCAGACCUGCAGCGAGUGUCUGGGGUGACGCCGCGUGGGCUCAGAACCACAGCAGGGCGCCGUGCCCGAGGGUGAGGCCUGUUUGCCUGGACGAGGCCAGUGGGAGGUGGUGGUGGGAGGAUCCAGGUCGUCCCCGCUGGGACAGGGGCCGGCCUUGGCUGGUGGGGACAGCCAGCCCGAGCUCCGCUUCUGCCUGGUGACCAGGCUGGGCUCUGGGAAGCGCUGCUCCUUGGCUGCGUCCAGGCGCUGUCCGCGUCCUUCGGUGGAGGCCGUACGGGGUCACGCCCUCCCCGACAGUCCUGGUCCCAUUUCCGGGGGCGGAGGGGGCCCCUCACCUAGCACCGCUGCCCCGUUGGUGGUUCAGCGCCAAGCACUCCGUCUGUCACUCCUCAGCCGUGCUCUGCCUCACGCUUCCAAUUGUGCUGCACGUUUUUUCCGUAUUUUUAGUUAGUUUAUGAAAAGUCUUGGUUUUUGGUUAACUGAAUCACGAACAUAUUUUGUAUUUUCUUUUCAUUUUUUUUUAGGGCUGCACCCAUGGCAUCUGGAGGUUCCCAGGCUAGGGGUCCAGUGGGAGCUGUAGCUGCCGGCCUACACCACAGCCACAACAAUGCCAGAUCCUCAGCGCACUGAGCAAGGCCAGGGAUCGAACCUGCAACCUCAGGGUUACUAGUUGGAUUUGUCUCCGCUGUGCGACAGUGGGAACUCUGAAAAUAUAUUGUAUUUUCCGACAUGUUGCACACG